This 372-nucleotide ribosomal RNA is filed under the name uncultured prokaryote. RNAcentral's name for it is "bacterial SSU rRNA". It matches the Rfam family "Bacterial small subunit ribosomal RNA", at positions 524 to 896 of the family's 1533-position model. The record is from RNAcentral.
UACGUAGGGUGCGAGCGUUAAUCGGAAUUACUGGGCGUAAAGCGUGCGCAGGCGGAUGUUUAAGUCAGAUGUGAAAUCCCCGGGCUCAACCUGGGAAUGGCAUUUGAAACUGGGCAUCUAGAGUGCGUCAGAGGGGGGUGGAAUUCCACGUGUAGCAGUGAAAUGCGUAGAGAUGUGGAGGAACACCGAUGGCGAACGCAGCCCCCUGGGAUGACACUGACGCUCAUGCACGAAAGCGUGGGAAGCAAACAGGAUUAAAAACCCUGAUAGUCCACGCCCUAAACUAUAUCAACUAGUUGUUGGGGACGUAAGUUCUUAGUGACGAAGCUAACGCGUGAGGUUGACCACCUGGGGACUACGGCCGCAAGAUUG